Molecule: ribosomal RNA, 172 nt
Filed under: Solibacillus silvestris
Lineage: Bacteria; Bacillati; Bacillota; Bacilli; Caryophanales; Caryophanaceae
Description: partial 23S ribosomal RNA
Rfam family: Bacterial large subunit ribosomal RNA
Source: RNAcentral
UUUUGGUUAAGUUAAUAAGGGCGCACGGUGGAUGCCUUGGCACUAGGAGUCGAUGAAGGACGGCACUAACACCGAUAUGCCUCGGGGAGCUGUAAGUAAGCUUUGAUCCGGGGAUUUCCGAAUGGGGGAACCCACUAUCUUUAAUCGGAUAGUAUCUUCACGUGAAUUCAUA